This 389-nucleotide ribosomal RNA is filed under the name uncultured delta proteobacterium. Its description in RNAcentral is "bacterial SSU rRNA". It matches the Rfam family "Bacterial small subunit ribosomal RNA", at positions 56 to 424 of the family's 1533-position model. The record is from RNAcentral. Lineage: Bacteria; Deltaproteobacteria.
UGCAGUCGUACGAGAAAGCCUGGAGCUUGCUUUGGGCGAGUAAAGUGGCGCACGGGUGAGUAACGCGUGGGUAAUCUACCUUCGAGUUUGGGAUAACCCUUCGAAAGGGGGGCUAAUACCGGAUGAUAUCUUAUUGACUAUGGUUGAUAAGAUGAAAGAUGGCCGCUCCAUGGAAGCUGUUGUUUGGAGAUGAGCCCGCGUACCAUUAGCUGGUUGGUGGGGUAACGGCCCACCAAGGCGAUGAUGGUUAGCUGGUCUGAGAGGAUGAUCAGCCACACUGGAACUGGAACACGGUCCAGACUCCUACGGGAGGCAGCAGUGAGGAAUUUUGCGCAAUGGGGGAAACCCUGACGCAGCAACGCCGCGUGAGUGAUGAAGGCUUUCGGGUC